UACGUAGGGUGCAAGCGUUGUCCGGAUUUAUUGGGCGUAAAGAGCGUGUAGGCGGCUAGAUAGGUCCGUUGUGAAAACUCGAGGCUCAACCUCGAGACGUCGAUGGAAACCAUCUGGCUAGAGUCCGGAAGAGGAGAGUGGAAUUCCUGGUGUAGCGGUGAAAUGCGCAGAUAUCGGGAAGAACACCCGUGGCGAAGGCGGCUCUCUGGGACGGUACUGACGCUGAGACGCGAAAGCGUGGGGAGCGAACAGG
RNAcentral lists this ribosomal RNA (253 nucleotides) under uncultured bacterium. Its description in RNAcentral is "partial 16S ribosomal RNA". It matches the Rfam family "Bacterial small subunit ribosomal RNA", at positions 524 to 776 of the family's 1533-position model. The record is from RNAcentral.